Molecule: RNA transcript, 8300 nt
Organism: Athalia rosae (coleseed sawfly)
Lineage: Eukaryota; Metazoa; Arthropoda; Insecta; Hymenoptera; Athaliidae
Exons: 10
Source: RefSeq, a predicted model, not a curated record
UGCCCGAUAUUCAAUGUUACUUUGUUCAAAGAUUUUCCUCUCUUUGUAUUUUGGGAUUUUUUGAGUUUUUUUUCGUAUUCAGAAAUCAAUUUGGCGCUCGAAACUCAAUCGCCCUUCCCCUACCCCAAAAUUACACGACCAUACAAACUAAUUUACAUUACAAUAAUAUGUUAUUCGCUUCUUCCGCUCGGCAAAUAAGCCCCUGUAUUUCUUCUCUACGUAUAAACCGCAGCAACAACGAUGGAAAAUGUAUGAAUAGAAGACGACGUUUGUGCUACAUUAACAGGGCGUUAUACUAACCGGAUAAAGCGGUACGCCACCGCAUCACCGACUUUAUCUUUUUCUUCAGUUUAUAAUUUCCAACUGCACAUAAUAUGUUUUAUCAACUUGCUAGUGAAGAGGAAUCUCAAUUCUUCAACGUAUAGGUUUCGGUUGCCACGCAGUCCUGUUGGAAUUCAAAAGGAAUAUGAGCAAGGGCAAGAUUUUUCGAAACCGGUCAAUAAUUUGCAACCACACGAGUAAAAUCCUGGACAAAAGUACGGUGGCGGUCACAAGGUAUGAACCUAUAGCCACCUACUCUUCUGAUUCGAGGUGGUGCAGCGGGAGUUUCUAAAAAUAGAUUCAAGGGCGCGGACGUCGUCCAUAGGGCACUGCUGCAAUGGGAUACUACGGAACGUGACGUCUCGUAGGGUCGAUUAAUAGUGGCCCUUUCUUCUGCUCUUGCUGCUGCUGUUGCUGUUGCAGUCACACGGGCGUUCCUGUCUGCUCCCUAACACAACUUUGCUUGUGUUUAUGGUGGUUGCUGAACACACCUUGUACAUGUAUACACACCGGUAUACCAGACGCGAGGUAUGUUGUGUAUGUUCAAUGUAUGUCCUAUUGGUGUGAAUGCGAAUCGCAAAGACCCAGGGCAGUAAACGUGUGCGCUGGGUUCUGCCAAGCCAUCCAGCCAUCCAGCCAGCCAGCCAGCCAGCCAGCCAGCCAGCCAGCAUGCAGCCCUCGGGAAAGUCUUCCUAAAUCGAUACGCAUGCGGUGCACUGCGAUUGCGAUGCGUAUCCACAUAGCGUACCGGUGACAGACGGUCGCCGACCACGUGGCCAGGGAAACGUCAACGUGGAUUCAGGUUUACUUCUUUUGAUUUUUUAUUUUCCCAUUUUUACGAUAUAUGGCACACGUAGCAUGAACAUGAUGCAUCCGUGUCAACUUUACGGGAUUCUAUGUGCUUCAGAUUUUUUGUCUUACUCAAAAAAUUGGUCAAAUUGAGAUUCGUGAUAUCGAUUCGCAUAUUCGAAAGAAUAUGGUCCAUGAUACUCUUUUUUUUCCUCUUUGUGAUGGAAACUACGAGUACAAUUGUCCCAACAAUUUCUCUUUGAAUGUUAAAACUAGGCUAAAAGUUCAUUAACUUCGCACUCAUUCAUGCUGAAGUAUUAUACUCGUGCACGUAUAGUUAACUCGAUCGUAGCUACACCGUUCUAAAUCACUCUAAUUUCGAACCGAGAAUUAUGUUGGCUCUGCAUAUAAAAGUAAUCAUUUUCAAGCAGUCGAUCGCACGAUACGAUUAAUUAUUUUAUAUAUCCACGUAUUUGAAUUAGCUCGUUUAAUGAGGAUUAUGAUAUGAUUUACUGCGCCUCGAUUUCACCUUUCCGAUGAUCUCAUUCUAUGCUUUUCUAAUUAAUUACGAUGUUAAUCCAUUUGGCGACCGAUUGAUCUCGAACGAUUAUUAUGAAAAAAAAUGAAAGAUAAUGGAGGAUCGUAAUCGUUCUUUGAAUUCGUGAGUCCUACUCAUUUGUGACUCAUGCCGUAUUACAAUUUGCGAACGUAUGUCGCAUAGCUGCGUCUAUGUAUGUGUGUGAAACUUCGAAAUUUGAUCGGUAUUUUAAUGUAAAUCGAACGAAAACUAUGUAUAUUCGUGUAUUGAUGAGUUAGUCACAUACCAAAGCGUAAUCGAGUAAGGUAAACUGUGGUCAUGAUAAGAAAAACAACGAAACAAAGCUGAUUCCCUGGAUCAUUCGAUGACUAAUACCUCGUGUAACUCAUUAAGAAUUUAAGAAAUUUUUUCGGAAAUUCGAUCCAAUCAUCGACGUCUGGAUAUACCUGCGUAAACAAAAAACAGAUUCACAGCAAUUGCAAUACAGGUAAUCGGAUUCCGUUCAGAGAAAACUGAGAAAAUAUACACGAUUCUUUUACUCCUGUAAUUGCGGUCGGUGACUUUCUUCCUGUAAUUAUUCCUUACUUCUUUUUUCGUCCGAUUUCCGAAGGUUGAACAAUAAUUUCAACUCCUGACUCUUCUGCGUACAUACGUAUGUACCUAGUGUACAUUUUAUUUUACAUAGCAUGUAAUACAUAAGAAGUGUUCGUUGAACUUACUGCCACUGAAUCUGUGAACCCACUACCCGGUAUUGAUUUCAAGCAUCGCAUGCUCUGCAGGAAGCCGACGUCGCGACUGUACCAUUUCUACAACUACCAACGUAAUUCAGAUGUACAUAGGUACGUACGUGUGCUUACUAUUUGACAAAAGUUUUAUUUGUGUGAGUGUGGUCGGAGUAGCGUAAUAAACUGUCUAUAGAAAUCGUAGACGGAGUUGAAAAAAAAUUUCUACGAAUGAAAUCACUAUCAGAGGAAGGAAUAUUUAUAUGGACACCGCGUGUUAUAAUUACACUUCGGUUAUUCAGAUUGUAAAAUAAGAUUGAACAACAAGUGUGAUACGAUUACGCAAACGAGUCGUAUAUGGUGAAUCUGCAGAUCGGAUCGUUCGUUGUUUAUCAAUCCGAAUUGCAUAAAUAAUUGAUAUUUUUACACACUACCGAAGUGUGUAAAAAUGAUUGUUUGAUGGAUUGAAAGUAGUAGGCGUUUCUCGUGAACGAUGGAAUUUGAUUUUGUCAUUGAACUUAUAAUACACUUUGAUAUUCAAAGUAUUAUUAUCAUAAUGCGAUACACGGCAGGUGAAAACGAGAAAUCACUUUCACUUUCGUUAUUCCAAUCAUAUAAUCGAUCCCCGAUUACUCAUAAUAACAUGCGCCAUACGAAGCUGAUGAAUUCAAUGCAUUAUUCGCGAAUAAAUUUAUAAUCGAUUAAUUAUUAUGCAAGAAGCUUAUAGGUCCGACUCCCUGUGCGAUGUGUAGUACAUGAAUAUAAGUAACUUAUACACGUACAUAUUGUACGCAUAGGUAGUACGAGGCGCUCUUGGGGGGCCUUGACAGGGCCUUAUUUGGGAGACAAGGUUGAGGUGCGGUGCAGGCCAAUGGGUUUUGAGGACAGUUAUAUCAUGUCGUUUUACCGUAUUUGGUUCUAAUUUUGUUGCACUGAUCCGACAAAUAACCGAAUACUGUGCAGAUUUUGCUGCGAUAUGAAAAUCUUACGAUUGUUCAGGGAUUCAAAAUCCUGUCUUAUGAUCCUAAUUUUUUUUCAUCCUGCUUCGCCGUCUCUCAUUAAUUUUUUUUUUUUUUUUUUUUUUUUUAUCAUUCACGAAUAUUCAUACCUAUACAUGGAACGAGUGGCCAUUGACUUCUGGUGUCAGCAGCGGCUAGUUGAAUCAUCAUUUUUCCAUGAGCCUUAGUCGCAAAGUAAUUUUUAUAUUAUAACGACGCACGCCGUCACGCAACGAAUCUUUUGCAAGAUGAUCACAUGCGAAUAGGUAGGUUCGCGUUGGACGUGCAGCAGUAACGAUAUUAGAAAAAUCGUUAAAAGGAAUUGUUGAAAAAUUAGUGAAAUCUAAUCGAAACUGAAAUAGAAAGAAAAAAAUAAAAAAUAUUUUCACGCCGUUAGAGACUUUGAAUCGAACAAAUUGAAUUUUUUGUCUUCAAAGAUUUGCAAAAUGCAACGAACAGCAAAAAUUUGUCAUUUUUGUAUCGUGUUUCCAGCCUCUCACACGUCUGAACGAAAAAAAAAAAAAAAAAUGUAUAUUACAAAUUAUGUGAAGAAAAAAAGAACAGUAAGGGGACAAAAUUUUUUUAUUCUUCAUUUGGAAAUAUCGGAGGCAUACCAAAUUACAACCGUAACGAAUUUUCUAGAAAUGAAAUUCCACGAUCCGUGCGAUUAUACCGAUACACGUUAAACAUAUUGUGAUUACCUUUAUAUAACGAGAAUAAUAAAAUGAAAUUCUUCUCGUUGAUAAUAUACGAGUAUAAUCGCUAUAUUUAGUCGCCCGUUAUUAUAAUGUUGCUCGGUAAUGACGUCAACAUAUCUGUCGCUACGACAAUUCCAGUCAGAAAUCAUCGAUGAUUCAAGACACCUCGGCGUUGGCAACACGACGACGACUUCUCAGAGUCUGGCGUUUCAAGUUUUUAAUUUUCUCUAAUCGGUCCGCGUAUAGAGUUAUUGGAAUUCUUCAAACGUUAUUGAAACGCUGUCGUCAUUCGUAAUAAAACUUUGAACAUCAGCAGCGCCCACCGGCUCAUGAUGUUGCUUUUCCUCCGAUGCAGGCAAAAGACAGCUGAGCCCCUAUAGAUACCCGGAAGUGGUUCGUCCGUUCGCGGCCUCUCCUUUUCUUCGUCACACAAGUAUUAUUUUUUUCCUCACACAUAUUCCGUUCCUCUAUUUUCUCUCAAUCGACAAAAAAUGACACGAAUAAAAAUGUCGUAAACAAACAAAAAAAAAACAAAAAAAAAACAAAAAGAGAAAAGAAAUACCAACGAGAAAACGAAGAAGAAAAAAGAUUAACUUCUUCAUACUCGAUCUGUACGAAACCGGAAGUUGUGCCGGACGAUCCAUGAGGAAUACGAAACGGAUUCAAGAAGCCUGUACAGCAUAAAAACGGGAAAUUCUAUAUAAUUUUAUCCACAUGUACAUAAAUAUCAAAUAUAUAUUUAUGCACGUAAUAUUGGUAUAGAAUUUUGAGAUCAGCAGUGCAGAAUCGAAAGAGACUCAUAUAUGCAUACGUACAUACAUAUGAAAUAAAAAGUGCGUCGCGAUACGCGACGACUGAAAUUUUUCUUAUUUUUUCUUUCGACUCGUUCGCACGAUUGCGCACUUAUAUUCUGUACAUGAAAAUGAUAAUUCGAACGCUGACUUAUGUUCAUACUUCCCAAACACCUGUGAGAGGGUAUUUCUCAAUAAUGUGAUCCGUUUGUACCGACGCGGGUAUAUUACGUUAUAUUUGAUAGCGAAAAAAUAUUUCCAAACAAGAUUUUUAUCGGAGAUUCUAAUCUCCGUAUGUUGCACGAUUGAAAUAUCAUUCGUGCGUACGUACUUGCAUCAGCUGUAGGUACGGAAUACUUGUUUCCUUCUCUUAUCGUUAUAUCCAGUAUAGAUAUUUAUUUGUGAUACUAUACAGUUGAUUCGAGUUUUACGUUGUACGUAUACGUACUCACACACGUAUAAUUUACGAUUAUUUGUGCAGCUAAUUGCGAGUAGAAAUCAUUCGAAAUUCUCACGUUAUAAUUUACCGUCCAAAUACACGGGCGUGGAUAUUCAAAAUUCCUUUUUUUUCUUCAUGCGAUUCUAUUCGAAUUUUAUUCAGUCACGUAUUUCAAAUCGUUAAAAAAUAUUUGUAUAUAUUUUCAUGUUUUUUACAGACAGACUAAACAAACGUGAUCAAUGAUAUUAUAAAUUUUAUUACAGUUAUAAUUAUACAUCCGUUAGCAUACGAUUAAAUAAUAUCGUCAAGUUCCGUUGACCUUAGACGAGUAGAAAAAAAUUCAAUAUUUUUGUAACGUACGUAUUCUGAUCGCGAAUUCCUAAAACUGUUCCCACUGAUUCUGAUCGUUCUGCUGCUGCUGUUGCUGCUGCUGCUGCACCGACGAUGCGUGUUAAUUAAGUCCUGCUCCUGGUGCACCAGGGACAUCGGGGGAAAAAGAGAAGGAUCGAUGGGGCGAGACAUAGAAGAGCUUCUGCACCACGCCCAACCAUGGGGGUGGCUCACCAUGACUCACUCCAUAUACUACAGAGUCCACCAACCCUUCGAAUUCGGUGAAACUACGUACGGGGUGCAGAUUUGGCGUGGAAUGUAAAUACACAGAGAGACAUCGGAGACACAAGCUGAGGGCCUCAAUAUUUUUCGGCGAGAGCGAGUCCAAUGAAUUUUCGAGGAAGAAAAAGAAAAAUUGGAAUAAUUGAGACUUCACCUUACGCGUCUGUUAAAUACGAGGGCGACGCCGUCUAAAACGCCUUCACUUUCGAUUGUGUGGCGCCUUUUCUUGGCUCGCUGAUUGUGAGAGUAAAUUCUGGCGAGGUAUAUGGUCUCUCAGGACACUAAAGAACUGGCCUUCCAAAUAUGGGAGCAUAACACUCACACAUAUUAUAUCAAUUUUGUCCCCCCAAAAGGAAAAAAAAAAAUCGACAGCGACGCUUCUUAAAAUGGAAGGACACUUUGCAUACCGAAUUAUAUUAUUAUCAAUUCUUACAAUCAGCAACGACUGCUGGAACAAGAUCAUAGUCUGGUGUGCAUGGAAAUAUUCCGACAAAAAUUAGAUUAGAAAAAAAAAAUUCCGAUCUUUGAAUGUCUGAAUAUAAUUGUCUAUCGCCAUCAAGAAUUAUUCAAACCGCUGAAGUACGAAAAGAGAUGGGUAAUUUGCUGGAAGAAAUUUCAGAUUUUAUGUACGUGAAUAAUACCUGUCGAAAAAAAAAAAGUUGUCAGAUUUCUAAAUCAGCAUUAGUCACGUCUUGUGGUACCUUUAAAUUUUAAACACAUUAGUAAUAUUUUCUCCGCGUAGACGAGCGACAAAAUUUCUCGGGAUCGGUGGAACCAGACUGCACCACCAUGACUAAUACUCUGAGACUUCGGUACGGGGUUCCUGGGGUCCCAUGAGUCAUAGAUAAUGCCAUGCGAGUUUUUUUCCCCCCUUUUUUUCCACACAUUUGCAAUUGCUGCCACAUAAACAGCCAGCCCUGGACAAACGACUUAUCUUCCGACAAUAAUUCUACUACUCUCGGAUACUGUGUGAGGACAUUAUCACCAGUGAAAAGGAAACGAAGAAAAAUACAAAAAAUCGGCGGAAUGCGACUCACCAUGUAUUUGCAAUGUAUUACAUAAGUGAAACAAAUACAUACUUUGAAUAUUACCAAAUAUGGAAGCGAAGCAAAGUAGGUACGGAACGAGAUUUCUAAAUUCACGUUCGCCGUUAUUAACACAUUAUCGCGUGACAUAUACACGAUCCAAAGUUUAUAUCAGUUCAAACUUCCGGUCAGCAUGCCGCAACCGCCUCUGUGCAGGUCGGUCAUUUAUCGGAGGCGGGUGUCGAUGGUGAAUCAUUCGAUCUCCGGAGUAUUCUGUUGAGUUUACUCAGAAUUGAUCUCCACCUUCGAUCAUCGUUGAGAAUGAUUCACCUGCGCUCGUACUACGACCGGGAGAUUUUUUUUAAUCUCACCGCGCAUACAUCGAACGUUACUCACUCAGAAUUAUAUGUAUUACACAUGUGAAAUGGGUAUAGUCUACACGUAUUAAAGACGUGAUUCAUACAACUUGACCGAUUAAUUUUUUAUGCAAGAUUGUUAUAUUUGACAGAUAACUUAGUUAAUUAACGUCACUAAUCAAGAUUGUCUUGUUUUUCAAAAGAGCUGUCCGUGCAAUGAAAAGAUUAACUAUGAAAAUUUUUUUCUCUUUUGCCAACAGAAAUAAAAUUUCCAAUCUAUUGAAAUUUGAAUGUUUGAACAGGAUCUAACUGAAAGUGAAUUUAUCACAUUAUAUAGCAACGAUCAAUUUUGAAUACAGCUUUGUACUUGUUUUAGAUCGACUUUAAAGAGAAGAGUUUUUACAAUAAUCAUCUACCCGGCGAUGGUUUUCUCACGAAUCGAUGGAAUCGUAAAAUAGAUAACGGAAUUUAUACCCGAUAGUUUGAACGUACAAUAUCUAGGCUUGUAAAUAAGCGUAAAUGGACUAUAGACAAGGACAUUUAGAUUAUGAUAUUAAUACAUAUGGUGCCGUACGACGUAUCGUAUCUAAACCAGAUGUGGAGCUAAAUGAAAUUAACUGCGUGAAGCCUCUUCGGAAUUGUGACAUUUCAUAUACACUUGGAUGUUUCCGUAUACGUGUUCAGGAUCAGAGGCAAAAUAAAUAUCUGACAAAAUGAUUCUACCCCAUGAUUUUACAAUAAUCGUAUUUGUAGCAAUACUCAGCGAAACCGAAGGUUGGUUUUUAAUUACUUCUAAUUUAAUUCUAAUGAAUUUCCUACUAGGUGAUUGUCAAUUAUGCCAUGGCUUUAAUAGCUCAAUUUUUGUUACGUAUAAUUAUAAAACGAUGAGAUGAUCAUUGUUUCUCAUAAUUUUUCAUGUGUGGGACUUGUAUUGAUGGGAAAUUGGAUUGGAAUUGAUUAGGCCUUGUCUACAAUGGUUUCGAAUACAUAUAAUAAGCUAAAUUUCUGUUA